UCCCUCAUCACUAACAGGCCAACCUAUCACAAUAGGAGAAUUAAUGCUAGAAUGAGUAACCAGGGUGAACCCCUCUACGACGCAAGCUUACAUCUGUACAUUAUUAACAAGUACCCAAUAUACGACAAAUCCAACAAGCAGAGUAUUAAACACCUUGUUAACCCGACAGAGGAGCGUCCGCUAAGAAAGAUUAAAACCUGUAAAAGGAACUCGGCAAACCCAAGGCCCGACUGUUUACCAAAAACAUAGCCUUCAGCAAACCAAAGAACAAGUAUUGAAGGUGAUGCCUGCCCGGUGACAUAGUUCAACGGCCGCGGUAUCCUAACCGUGCAAAGGUAGCGCAAUCAAUUGUCCCAUAAAUCGGGACACGUAUGAAUGGCUAAACGAGGUCUUAACUGUCUCUUACAGGCAAUCGGUGAAAUUGAUCUCCCUGUGCAAAAGCAGGGAUAACCCCAUAAGACGAGAAGACCCUGUGGAACUUCAAAAACAGCAACCACCCCAAUAUACAUCCACACCCAAAGCACUGGUUCGCAUUUUUUCGGUUGGGGCGACCUUGGAGCAAAACAAAACCUCCAAAAAUUGGACCAUUCCUCCAGACUAAGAGCAACCUCUCAACGUGCCAACAGCACCCAGACCCAAUAUAAUUGAUCAAUGGACCAAGCUACCCCAGGGAUAACAGCGCGAUCUCCCCCGAGAGUCCAUAUCGACGGGGAGGUUUACGACCUCGAUGUUGGAUCAGGACAUCCUAG
This 749-nucleotide ribosomal RNA is filed under the name Alauda razae (Razo lark). RNAcentral's name for it is "partial 16S ribosomal RNA". It matches the Rfam family "Bacterial large subunit ribosomal RNA", at positions 1239 to 2550 of the family's 2925-position model. The record is from RNAcentral. Lineage: Eukaryota; Metazoa; Chordata; Aves; Passeriformes; Alaudidae.